UACGUAGGUGGCGAGCGUUGUCCGGAUUUACUGGGCGUAAAGGGAGCGUAGGCGGACUUUUAAGUGAGAUGUGAAAUACCCGGGCUCAACUUGGGUGCUGCAUUUCAAACUGGAAGUCUAGAGUGCAGGAGAGGAGAAUGGAAUUCCUAGUGUAGCGGUGAAAUGCGUAGAGAUUAGGAAGAACACCAGUGGCGAAGGCGAUUCUCUGGACUGUAACUGACGCUGAGGCUCGAAAGCGUGGGGAGCAAACAGGAUUAGAUACCU
Molecule: ribosomal RNA, 264 nt
Filed under: uncultured prokaryote
Description: partial 16S ribosomal RNA
Rfam family: Bacterial small subunit ribosomal RNA
Source: RNAcentral